UGAACGCUGGCGGCGUGCUUAACACAUGCAAGUCGAACGAACCUUCGGGUUAGUGGCGGACGGGUGAGUAACGCGUGGGAAUCUGCCCUCAGGAGGGGGAUAACGGCUGGAAACGGCCGCUAAUACCCCAUAUGCCGAGAGGUGAAAUGAAUUUCGCCUGAGGAUGAGCCCGCGUCUGAUUAGCUAGUUGGCGAGGUAAGAGCUCACCAAGGCAUCGAUCAGUAGCUGGUCUGAGAGGAUGAUCAGCCACACUGGGACUGAGACACGGCCCAGACUCCUACGGGAGGCAGCAGUGGGGAAUUUUCCGCAAUGGGCGAAAGCCUGACGGAGCAACGCCGCGUGAGGGAUGAAGGCCUCUGGGCUGUAAACCUCUUUUCUCAAGGAAGAAGAACUGACGGUACUUGAGGAAUAAGCCACGGCUAAUUCCGUGCCAGCAGCCGCGGUAAUACGGGAGUGGCAAGCGUUAUCCGGAAUUAUUGGGCGUAAAGCGUCCGCAGGCGGCCCUUCAAGUCUGCUGUUAAAACGUGGAGCUUAACUCCAUCAUGGCAGUGGAAACUGUUGGGCUUGAGUGUGGUAGGGGCAGAGGGAAUUCCCGGUGUAGCGGUGAAAUGCGUAGAUAUCGGGAAGAACACCAGUGGCGAAGGCGCUCUGCUGGGCCAUAACUGACGCUCAUGGACGAAAGCCAGGGGAGCGAAAGGGAUUAGAUACCCCUGUAGUCCUGGCCGUAAACGAUGAACACUAGGUGUCGGGGGAAUCGACCCCCUCGGUGUCGUAGCCAACGCGUUAAGUGUUCCGCCUGGGGAGUACGCACGCAAGUGUGAAACUCAAAGGAAUUGACGGGGGCCCGCACAAGCGGUGGAGUAUGUGGUUUAAUUCGAUGCAACGCGAAGAACCUUACCAGGGUUUGACAUCCUGCGAAUCUCUUGGAAACGAGAGAGUGCCUUCGGGAGCGCAGUGACAGGUGGUGCAUGGCUGUCGUCAGCUCGUGUCGUGAGAUGUUGGGUUAAGUCCCGCAACGAGCGCAACCCACGUCUUUAGUUGCCAGCAUUUAGUUGGGCACUCUAGAGAGACCGCCGGUGAUAAACCGGAGGAAGGUGUGGAUGACGUCAAGUCAUCAUGCCCCUUACAUCCUGGGCUACACACGUACUACAAUGCUACGGACAAAGGGCAGCAAGUUCGCGAGGACAAGCAAAUCCCAUAAACCGUGGCUCAGUUCAGAUCGUAGGCUGCAACUCGCCUACGUGAAGGAGGAAUCGCUAGUAAUCGCAGGUCAGCAUACUGCGGUGAAUACGUUCCCGGGCCUUGUACACACCGCCCGUCACACCAUGGAAGUUGGCCACGCCCGAAGCCGUUACUCCAACCCUCGGGAGGA
This 1372-nucleotide ribosomal RNA is filed under the name uncultured bacterium. RNAcentral describes it as "bacterial SSU rRNA". It matches the Rfam family "Bacterial small subunit ribosomal RNA". The record is from RNAcentral.